GACGAACGCUGGCGGCGUGCUUAACACAUGCAAGUCGAGCGAUGAAGUUUCUUCGGAAAUGGAUUAGCGGCGAACGGGUGAGUAACACGUGAGGAAUCUGCCCUUCACUUUGGAAUAACUCCGGGAAACCGGAGCUAAUACCGGAUACGAACUCUGGCGGCAUCGCCGGGGUUGGAAAGUUUUCCGGUGAAGGAUGACCUCGCGGCCUAUCAGCUUGUUGGUGAGGUAAUGGCUCACCAAGGCGACGACGGGUAGCCGGCCUGAGAGGGCGACCGGCCACACUGGGACUGAGACACGGCCCAGACUCCUACGGGAGGCAGCAGUGGGGAAUAUUGGGCAAUGGGCGAAAGCCUGACCCAGCGACGCCGCGUGCGGGAUGAAGGCCUUCGGGUUGUAAACCGCUUUCAGCAGGGAAGAAGCGAAAGUGACGGUACCUGAAAAGGAAGCACCGGCUAACUAUGUGCCAGCCGCCGCAGUAA
RNAcentral lists this ribosomal RNA (479 nucleotides) under uncultured bacterium. RNAcentral's name for it is "partial 16S ribosomal RNA". It matches the Rfam family "Bacterial small subunit ribosomal RNA", at positions 28 to 523 of the family's 1533-position model. The record is from RNAcentral.